RNAcentral lists this unclassified non-coding RNA (380 nucleotides) under uncultured Gemmatimonadaceae bacterium. RNAcentral's name for it is "contains 16S-23S intergenic spacer region". Lineage: Bacteria; Pseudomonadati; Gemmatimonadota; Gemmatimonadia; Gemmatimonadales; Gemmatimonadaceae. The record is from RNAcentral.
UCCGGUUUGGCACCGGCAGUCCCUCUAGAGUCCUCGGCUUUACCCGUUAGUAACUAAAGAAAGGGGUUGCGCUCGUUGCGGGACUUAACCCAACAUCUCACGACACGAGCUGACGGCAGCCAUGCAGCACCUCUGUGGCGGCCCCCGAAGGGGAAGCCCUGUUUCCAGAGCGGUCCACCACAGUUCAAGCAUAGGUAAGGUUCUUCGCGUUGCGUCGAAUUAAACCACAUGCUCCACCGCUUGUGCGGGCCCCCGUCAAUUCCUUUGAGUUUCAGCCUUGCGGCCGUACUCCCCAGGCGGGGUACUUCCUGCGUUAGCGCCGGCACCCAAGGGGUCGCUCCCCCAGGCACCUAGUACCCAUCGUUUACGGCGUGGACUAC